GACGAACGCUGGCGGCGUGCUUAACACAUGCAAGUCGAACGGAAAGGCCCUGCUUGCCGGGUACUCGAGUGGCGAACGGGUGAGUAACACGUGGGUGAUCUGCCCUGCACUUCGGGAUAAGCCUGGGAAACUGGGUCUAAUACCGGAUAGGAGCCAUUUUUAGUGUGAUGGUUGGAAAGUUUUUUCGGUGUAGGAUGAGCUCGCGGCCUAUCAGCUUGUUGGUGGGGUAAUGGCCUACCAAGGCGGCGACGGGUAGCCGGCCUGAGAGGGGGGACGGCCACAUUGGGACUGAGAUACGGCCCAGACUCCUACGGGAGGCAGCAGUGGGGAAUAUUGCACAAUGGGCGCAAGCCUGAUGCAGCGACGCCGCGUGGGGGAUGACGGCCUUCGGGUUGUAAACUCCUUUCGCUAGGGACGAAGCCUUGUGUGACGGUACCUAGAUAAGAAGCACCGGCUAACUACGUG
Molecule: ribosomal RNA, 465 nt
Filed under: uncultured bacterium
Lineage: Bacteria
Description: partial 16S ribosomal RNA
Rfam family: Bacterial small subunit ribosomal RNA
Source: RNAcentral